This 330-nucleotide long non-coding RNA is filed under the name Musa acuminata (dwarf banana). RNAcentral's name for it is "long non-coding RNA (MACU_LNC000003)". The record is from RNAcentral. Lineage: Eukaryota; Viridiplantae; Streptophyta; Magnoliopsida; Zingiberales; Musaceae.
UGGGGGGAAUCUCCAUAAACGAAGGCUUGCUGGUGCCAAAGCGACUCUUUUUGGAGCCACACCGUGGCCUUUCGAUGAUGGUGUUCUUUUCUUUGAUACUUCUACUGAGACUGACAUGCUGUUACCGGGUUCAGAUUAUCAAAAUGAUAUGUCUAUGGUUGUUAGUGACAGUUCUGGGAACGACGAUGAAGUAACUUCGAGGUUUAUAGUGAAUCCGACCAGUAUGCAUGAUGCUCCCGGUCUUGGUAGGAAUUGCAGUGCGCAAAAGGGUAGUGGUAAUGGUUCUAAUCUCGAUGGUUCCCCAGAUGCUCAACGUGGAUUAAUUGUAAA